CGCGUCUCCGCCCGCGUCCCUGAGAAAUGGAGUGCAAGUUACUGCCCGCAGAGAAGGAGGAGUUGGUGGCCUGGGGCUUCUGGAAGAGAAGGUUUGUAACCACCGCCGGAAGGAAGGGGAGAAGGAACCAACCAGACCAGCAGGACUGGGAAGCGUGGGGCCACCCGUCUGCGCUUGGAGACGAUGAGGCCCAAAGAGGCUUCCCCGGUGGCUCAGCUGGUAAAGAAUCCACCUGCAAUGCGGGAGACCUGGCUUCGAUCCCUG
Long non-coding RNA from Bos taurus (domestic cattle), 264 nucleotides. The record is from Ensembl. Lineage: Eukaryota; Metazoa; Chordata; Mammalia; Artiodactyla; Bovidae.